GGGGCUGCCGCCGCUGGAACUGAACCGGGGGACUCGGCUGCGGGCGGUGGAUGGCUUCUUGUCCUUCCCUCCAUGGACUCCACGGAGGAGCUGCCUUCUCUCCUUUUCCUGCCAAGUUUAAAGGCCACUCGUCUCUGAUGAAUGCACCUGCUGAUAUAGAGGAAACAUCUUGGAAGGCUGAGCACAACUUCCUUAAAUAGUCACCUGGACCAGCCAUUGAUUUGUCCUGAGUGAGAAAUGAACCUUUUAUUGAAUUAUGCUGUUGAGAUUUAGUCACAACCACAGCAUCACCUAGUCAACCCUACCUAGUAUAACAGUAUUUGUGGUUUGAGUUUAUAAUUGUUGAUUUCCUUGUUUGGGUGUCUCCCCACUAAUACCUGAGGUCCAAAGGGCAAGGAAUUCUAUCCUAUAUAAUAAAAGUAAUAUGCAAAU
Molecule: long non-coding RNA, 432 nt
Organism: Pipistrellus kuhlii (Kuhl's pipistrelle)
Lineage: Eukaryota; Metazoa; Chordata; Mammalia; Chiroptera; Vespertilionidae
Exons: 2
Source: RefSeq, a predicted model, not a curated record